RNAcentral lists this ribosomal RNA (1100 nucleotides) under uncultured marine eukaryote. RNAcentral's name for it is "bacterial SSU rRNA". It matches the Rfam family "Eukaryotic small subunit ribosomal RNA", at positions 411 to 1543 of the family's 1831-position model. The record is from RNAcentral.
CACAUCCAAGGAAGGCAGCAGGCGCGCAAAUUACCCAAUCCUAACUCAGGGAGGUAGUGACAAGAAAUAACAAUAACUGACCUUUAAUAGGUAAGUUAAUUGGAAUGAGUACAAUCUAAACACCUUAACGACUAUCCAUUGGAGGGCAAGUCUGGUGCCAGCAGCCGCGGUAAUUUCAGCUCCAAUAGCGUAUACUAAUGUUGUUGCAGUUAAAAAGCUCGUAGUCGGAUUUCAGAUUCAAGACUUGAAUUAUUAAAUUCUCUGUCUUUUAUCUUCAUUGGUACGAACCUGCAUCUGAUUUAUUUCCGGUGCUGUCUAGUGCCUCUUUUACUUUGAGAAAAUUAGAGUGUUCAAAGCAGGUCAUCGCCUGAAUAUUACUCUUGGAAUAAUGAUAUAGGACUUUGGUUCUAAUUUGUUGGUGUAUUAGGACCGGAGUAAUGAUUGAUAAGGACGGUUGGGGUCAUUCAUACUGCAAAGCGAGAGGUGAAAUUCUUGGACCUUUGUAUGAUGAACAACUGCGAAAGCAUUUGACUAGGACGUUCCUGUUGAUCAAGAACGAAAGUUGGGGGAUCGAAGACGAUCAGAUACCGUCGUAGUCUCAACCAUAAACUAUGCCAGCUAGGGAUUGGAAGAUGUUUAUUUACGACUCUUUCAGCACCUUAUGAGAAAUCAAAGCAUUUGGGUUCCGGGGGGAGUAUGGUCGCAAGGCUGAAACUUAAAGGAAUUGACGGGAGGGCACCACCAGGAGUGGAGCCUGUGGCUUAAUUUGACUCAACACGGGAAAACUUACCAGGUCCGGACAUAGUAAGGAUUGACAGAUUGAAAGUUCUUUCUUGAUUCUAUGGGGGGGUGGUGCUUGGCCGUUCUUAGUUGGUGGAGUGAUUUGUCUUGGUUAAUUCCGUUACCGAACGAUAUCUUCUCCUUGCUAAAAAUUUCUUGUUUUUUUUUGAAUCUUUGAAUUUCUUAGAAGGACUACUUCGCAAACAAGCAAAAAGAAAUCUUGAAAUAAUAAACAGUCUUUUAUGCCCUUUACAUGUUCUGGGCCUCCCCUGGCCUCACCUGUUGAAUUCUAAAAUCUUUGUUCUUCAUUUUGAAAAAUG